RNAcentral lists this ribosomal RNA (465 nucleotides) under Vreelandella stevensii. RNAcentral's name for it is "partial 16S ribosomal RNA". It matches the Rfam family "Bacterial small subunit ribosomal RNA", at positions 338 to 795 of the family's 1533-position model. Lineage: Bacteria; Pseudomonadati; Pseudomonadota; Gammaproteobacteria; Oceanospirillales; Halomonadaceae. The record is from RNAcentral.
CCUACGGGGGGCUGCAGUGGGGAAUAUUGGACAAUGGGCGAAAGCCUGAUCCAGCCAUGCCGCGUGUGUGAAGAAGGCCUUCGGGUUGUAAAGCACUUUCAGUGGGGAAGAAAGCCUUGGGGCUAAUACCCUCGAGGAAGGACAUCACCCACAGAAGAAGCACCGGCUAACUCCGUGCCAGCAGCCGCGGUAAUACGGAGGGUGCGAGCGUUAAUCGGAUUUACUGGGCGUAAAGCGCGCGUAGGCGGUCUGAUAAGCCGGUUGUGAAAGCCCCGGGCUCAACCUGGGAACGGCAUCCGGAACUGUCAGGCUAGAGUGCAGGAGAGGAAGGUAGAAUUCCCGGUGUAGCGGUGAAAUGCGUAGAGAUCGGGAGGAAUACCAGUGGCGAAGGCGGCCUUCUGGACUGACACUGACGCUGAGGUGCGAAAGCGUGGGUAGCAAACAGGAUUAGAUACCCGUGUAGUC